GCUUGUCUCAAAGAUUAAGCCAUGCAUGUGUUAGUAUAAACGCCUUUAUACUGUGAAACUGCGAACGGCUCAUUAUAUCAGUUAUAGUUUAUUUGAUACUUUUCGACUAUUGGAUAACCGUAGUAAUUCUAGAGCUAAUACAUGCGAAAAGUCCUGACUUCUUCGUGAGGGAGGGAUGUAUUUAUUAGAUACAAUCAAACGCACCAACAUAAAACCUUGGUGAUUCAUAAUAACUGUUCGGAUCGUAUGGCUUUUUGCCGACGACAGAUCAUUCAAAUUUCUGCCCUAUCAGCUUUCGACGGUACUGUAGUGGACUACCGUGGCAUUAACGGGUGACGGAGAAUUAGGGUUCGAUUCCGGAGAGGGAGCCUGAGAAAUGGCUACCACAUCCAAGGAAGGCAGCAGG
RNAcentral lists this ribosomal RNA (406 nucleotides) under uncultured eukaryote. RNAcentral describes it as "partial small subunit ribosomal RNA". It matches the Rfam family "Eukaryotic small subunit ribosomal RNA", at positions 30 to 432 of the family's 1831-position model. The record is from RNAcentral.